UCUUUCAUCUUGACAAGGCUUGAAGUGUCACUGGAGAAGCAGGAAAUGCUGGGUGCCGGAGUAUCCCUUCUGCAUACUUCAUAGCGCAGGGAAUAUCUCUAGAGUGUGGCUCUUUGAUAAGGGAGAGAAAAGUGCUAGACCUUGGGUCCGUAACACAUUUUCCUUACCUCACCUGAGUCUUAUACCAGAAAACAGAGCCCAGCACGCAAUUAUUUUGAAUAUCUCCUAUAAGUGCUAGACAGACACCACUUCUUUACUUCUUCAUUUACUGUUACCGAUACUCAGGUUUUGCACCCCGACUGAAGCAUGUACUGAACCACAGGAAACAUAUGUGAUGUGGUGUUGGGAAGGGGAACGUGGUAAGAAAAGAGAUGCUAAAAAGGAUGCCUGGAACCUGUAAGUUCUGGGUUCUCAUGGUCAGAAGGUGGAUGGAUAGCACUGUGGAACACUGGGGCAAGGGAAUCAAUGGUCUGGUCUGGCAGGCUUCUUGAAAGCAUGCAAUGAUUAAACUGGGACAGAAAGAAAUGACUAUCCUGGCUGCUUAAAUGCAAAUGCUUAUAACUUGAGGUUCUUACUAUGGAUCAUUAUCUGAGAUUGGCCUUGAUUUAAUAAAUUUCAUUUAUGUUGUGGGAUAGAACUUUGAAAGAGUCCACUGGGAAAUAUCUGGAUUAGAUGGGAUGUUCUGUGGAACCUUUGAAGGAAGACAAUGUGAGACAGGUGCUGAAGACAGGGCCUGAUGGCCCCAUGCUGCUACAGAGCCACGGGUGUGGCCCAGAGGAGUAAACUACAAGCUUUAUGAGGUGUUCUGGUAACUCAACUCAAGGUUCUCAGUUCAUCUCUAGAUAAAAUAUUACCACAAUGCACCAACUAGACACCUCUGGAAGGAGCUACUGCUGUAUUUACUACUGAGACCACCCUGAGAAGACUUCCAAGAUAGCACAUUUCUCAAGAAAAAUAAAUGUAGCUCAGCUCCAUGGACCAAGUCAACAUGGGUGAUAACAAUGAUCAGUACUCCAUGAAUAAAGAAUUUAAGCCAACAUAAAACACAUUCUGUUCCACCCAGGAACAGGUAGAGGAAGGGAAGCUGACGAACUUUGUAGUUCAGCAAUGACAGCUGCUCAGUCUGCUCUAACCCACUUAUCUUAGUAUUUUGUCCCCAAGUGUGGUGGUUUGAAUGGAAAUGGCCCCUAUAGGCCGACAGGGAGUGGUACUUGUUGGAAAGAGUAUGACAUGGGUUGGGGGGGGGAGGCAAUUCAAAUGCUCAAACCAAGCCUAGUGUAGCUCUCUUCCUGUUGCCUGAGGACCCAAUUAAUAUUUUCCCUUGUAAGGAGAGUUGCUGAGGUCAUGGUGUCUCUUCACAGCAAUAGAACUUUGACUAUGACACCAAGAUUCACACGCUGGAGCCUAAUCUCCAAGACAGUAGCACUGGGAUGCAAACCACUAGAUCUCCACCUGCAUGGACAGGCCUAAUACCCUAUAGAAGGGUCCUCAGAGCUGGUUAGAUCCGUCUACUACAUGAAGACUCAAGUGAGAAAGUUCUGUCUUGGAGGAACAAAUCCACGUGCCUGGUUUGGGGUUCCACAAGCACCCAAAUAGCCAGUCAAUCUAACACAGUACCUGAGAUCAGAAUAGAGACAAAAGGAAAGAGCUGAGGGCAGAUGCAAGGGGAACGGACAUGCUGAGUAGCUAAGGAGAGGACUACAGAGCCAGACAAGAGCCACAGCUCUCCCUCACUCAUGCUUUGUACUGAGCAUGUUUGGAACUAUCAUCAAUUCUACAUGUUCAGCUAUGGCACUGUGGUCAGGGUCUGUAGAGCCUUUACAUGUAUUGUAUAUACGCUUGUCAAUAAUACUUUUAAGUUUCUGAAACAAAGAGGAAUCAACAAUAAACACUGUU
Molecule: non-coding RNA, 1896 nt
Organism: Myodes glareolus (Bank vole)
Lineage: Eukaryota; Metazoa; Chordata; Mammalia; Rodentia; Cricetidae
Source: RefSeq, a predicted model, not a curated record